GUGGGGAAUCUUCCGCAAUGGACGAAAGUCUGACGGAGCAACGCCGCGUGAGUGAAGAAGGUUUUCGGAUCGUAAAGCUCUUUCGUUAGGGACGAACGUGCUCUUUGUGAAUAAUGAGGAGUAAUGACGGUACCUAAAUAAGAAGCCACGGCUAACUACGUGCCAGCAGCCGCGGUAAUACGUAGGUGGCAAGCGUUGUCCGGAAUUAUUGGGCGUAAAGCGCGCGCAGGCGGGAUAUCAAGUCUGUCUUAAAAGUGCGAGGCUCAACCUCGUGAGGGGACAGAAACUGGUAUUCUUGAGUGUCGGAGAGGAAAGUGGAAUUCCAAGUGUAGCGGUGAAAUGCGUAGAGAUUUGGAAGAACACCAGUGGCGAAGGCGACUUUCUGGACGAUGUCUGACGCUGAGGCGCGAAAGCUAGGGGAGCGAACGGGACUAGAAACCCGGGUAGUCC
RNAcentral lists this ribosomal RNA (450 nucleotides) under uncultured bacterium. RNAcentral describes it as "partial 16S ribosomal RNA". It matches the Rfam family "Bacterial small subunit ribosomal RNA", at positions 354 to 796 of the family's 1533-position model. The record is from RNAcentral.